GACGAACGCUGGCGGCGUGCUUAACACAUGCAAGUCGAGCGGUAAGGCCCUUUCGGGGGUACACGAGCGGCGAACGGGUGAGUAACACGUGGGUGACCUGCCCUCAGCUCUGGGAUAAGCCUGGGAAACCGGGUCUAAUACCGGAUAUGACUCCAUGACGCAUGUUGUGGGGUGGAAAGCCUUGUGCGGCUAAGGAUGGGGCCCNCGGCCUAUCAGCUUGUUGGUGGGGUGAUGGCCACCAAGGCGACGACGGGUAGCCGGCCUGAGAGGGCGACCGGCCACACUGGGACUGAGACACGGCCCAGACUCCUACGGGAGGCAGCAGUGGGGAAUCUUGCGCAAUGGGCGAAAGCCUGACGCAGCGACGCCGCGUGAGGGAUGACGGCCU
RNAcentral lists this ribosomal RNA (388 nucleotides) under uncultured bacterium. Its description in RNAcentral is "bacterial SSU rRNA". It matches the Rfam family "Bacterial small subunit ribosomal RNA", at positions 28 to 417 of the family's 1533-position model. The record is from RNAcentral.